GUCUUCUUGAUUAUAAUUUGAAGUCUGGCCUGCCCUAUGAUAUUUAAAUGGCCGCAGUAUUUUGACUGUGCUAAGGUAGCAUAAUAAUUAGUUUCUUAAUUAGAAGCUUGUAUGAAAGGUUUGAUGAAAAAACUUCUUUCUUAAAAUUAAUUAUUUUGAAUUUUAUCUUUAAGUAAAAAAGCUUAAAUUUUUUUAAGGGACGAGAAGACCCUUUAGAAUUUUAUAUAAUUAUUUAUUAUUAAUAUUUAGUAUUAACUUUAUAAUUUAUAGUUUUAUUUAGUUGGGGUGACGGAAAAAUUUAAUUAACUUUUUUUUAUUUUUACGAUUUAGUUGAAUAGUUGAUCCAUUUUAUGAUUAUAAGAAAAAAUUACCUAAGGGAUAACAGCGUAAUAAUUUUAGAGAGUUCUUAUCGAAAAAAUUGAUUGCGACCUCGAUGUUGGAUUAGAAUUUCUUUUAGGUGUAGCAGCUUAAAGAGAAGGUCUGUUCGACCUUUAAAUUUCUACA
RNAcentral lists this ribosomal RNA (504 nucleotides) under Deloyala guttata. Its description in RNAcentral is "partial 16S ribosomal RNA". It matches the Rfam family "Bacterial large subunit ribosomal RNA", at positions 1819 to 2600 of the family's 2925-position model. The record is from RNAcentral. Lineage: Eukaryota; Metazoa; Arthropoda; Insecta; Coleoptera; Chrysomelidae.